RNAcentral lists this ribosomal RNA (253 nucleotides) under uncultured bacterium. RNAcentral's name for it is "partial 16S ribosomal RNA". It matches the Rfam family "Bacterial small subunit ribosomal RNA", at positions 524 to 776 of the family's 1533-position model. The record is from RNAcentral.
AACGUAGGUGGCGAGCGUUAUCCGGAAUUACUGGGCGUAAAGGGCGCGUAGGCGGCCUACUAAGUCGGACGUGAAAUCCCUCGGCUCAACCGGGGAACUGCGUCCGAUACUGGUGGGCUCGAAUCCGGGAGAGGGAUGUGGAAUUCCAGGUGUAGCGGUGAAAUGCGUAGAUAUCUGGAGGAACACCGGUGGCGAAGGCGGCAUCCUGGACCGGUAUUGACGCUGAUGCGCGAAAGCCAGGGGAGCAAACGGG